GCGGCAUUGGAAGGCAACCGCUCCGGGAACGCUGAAAAUGGCGUUUCCGGGGAGGAAAGUCCGGACUCCGCAGUGCAGGAAGUCCAGAGCGCGUGAGCGCCUCAGGAUACCGCGGACCAUAUUCCGCGGGAAGGAAAGUGCCACAGAAAACAAACCGCCCCUGUCCCCGCGCAAGCGGAGAUGGGAGCAAGGGUGAAACGGUGGGGUAAGAGCCCACCGGGCAUGUUCGAAAGGACAAGCCGCAUGGCAAACCCCUUCCGGAGCAAGACCAAAUAGGGGAUGAUGCUGCUGCACGCAGCGCUUGAAUCCCGGGUAUUGGUCGCAUAGACAGAUGGUUGCCAGCCCGAACGCGCAAGCGCUCGGGAUUACAGAAUCCGGCUUACUCCCUUGCCGCGCUU
Molecule: non-coding RNA, 398 nt
Organism: Lentisphaerae bacterium GWF2_49_21
Lineage: Bacteria; Pseudomonadati; Lentisphaerota
Source: Rfam